This 253-nucleotide ribosomal RNA is filed under the name uncultured bacterium. RNAcentral's name for it is "partial 16S ribosomal RNA". It matches the Rfam family "Bacterial small subunit ribosomal RNA", at positions 524 to 776 of the family's 1533-position model. The record is from RNAcentral.
UACGUAGGGUGCGAGCGUUAAUCGGAAUUACUGGGCGUAAAGCGUGCGCAGGCGGUUUUGUAAGUCAGAUGUGAAAUCCCCGGGCUCAACCUGGGAACUGCGUUUGAAACUACAAGACUAGAGUAUAGGAGAGGGGGGUAGAAUUCCACGUGUAGCAGUGAAAUGCGUAGAGAUGUGGAGGAAUACCAAUGGCGAAGGCAGCCCCCUGGCCUAAUACUGACGCUCAUGCACGAAAGCGUGGGGAGCAAACAGG